AUUAACCUAUUAGCUCAGCUUAUCAUCUACUUUACUAUUUCUACAGGUACCCUUAUCACAAUGCUAGCCUCACACUGAUUUUUCAUCUGAACAGGCUUAGAAAGAAAUAUACUAGCCCUCGCCCCAAUCUUAAUUAAAAAAUAAAUCCCCGCUCCACAGAAGCAGCCACUAAAUAUUUCCUUAUACAGGCAACCACAUCUAUAGUCCUCAUAAUCGGUAUUCUCUCCAAUAAUCUGUUAUCUGGACAGUGAACAACAAUAAAUACUGUUAAUCAGUUUUCAUCCCUAAUAAUAAUAAUAGCCUUAGUAAUAAAAUUAGGAAUAACCCCCUUUCACUUCUGAGUUCCAGAAGUAACCCAAGGAACUUCUCUAACAUCUGGCAUACUUCUCCUCACGUGACAAAAACUAACCCCUAUUUCAAUUCAAUUCAAUCAAAUUUUUCCAUCAAUAAAUACAAAUAUUCUCCUAUCUAUCUAUUUUAGUGGGCAGUUGAGGAGGACUCAACCAAACACAACCAUGUAAAAUUUUAGCCUACUCCUCAACCACUCAUAUAGACUGAAUAAUAGCAGUACUAAUGUAUAACCCAAACAUUACCAUUUUUACCCUAAUUAUCUAUUUCAUCCCAACAAUUGCUGCAUUCCAAGUACUCAACCUGAAUUCAAGCACCACAACCUUAUCACUAUCUCACAUUUAAAACAAAUUAACAUGAUUAAUAUCUAUAAUCCUAUCAAUUUUAUUAUCCCUAGGAUGUUUACCCCCAUUAACAGGAUUCCUACCUAAAUGAAUUAUUAUCCAAGAGUUUACAAAAAAUAAGUCUUAUUAUCCCAACCAUCAUAGCCAUCAUAACUUUACUCAACCUAUAUUUUUAUAUAUGCUUAAUUUACUCCACUUCAGUGACAAUAUUCCCCACAUCCAAUAAUAUAAAAAGAAAAUGACAGUUCGAAAACACAAAACCCGUAUUAUUCCUCCCCCCACUCAUCAUCUUCUCUACCUUCCUCCUACCAAUAUCUCCAUUGACACUAUUUAUAAUCUAG
RNAcentral lists this long non-coding RNA (1033 nucleotides) under Homo sapiens (human). Its description in RNAcentral is "non-protein coding lnc-IMP4-8:1". The record is from RNAcentral. Lineage: Eukaryota; Metazoa; Chordata; Mammalia; Primates; Hominidae.